RNAcentral lists this transfer RNA (70 nucleotides) under Datnioides undecimradiatus (Mekong tiger perch). RNAcentral's name for it is "tRNA-Pro". It matches the Rfam family "tRNA". From Rfam's summary of the family: Transfer RNA (tRNA) molecules are approximately 80 nucleotides in length. Their secondary structure includes four short double-helical elements and three loops (D, anti-codon, and T loops). RNAcentral also lists the same sequence under 1 other name. The record is from RNAcentral. Lineage: Eukaryota; Metazoa; Chordata; Actinopteri; Lobotiformes; Datnioididae.
CAAGGAAUAGUUUGAAUUAAAAUACUAGCUUUGGGAGUUAGUGAUAUGGGUUAAAAUCCCCUUUCUUUGA